GCCUGGGUGGCUCAGUCGGUUGAGCGCCCGACUUCGGCUCAGGUCAUGAUCUCAUGGCUUGUGAGUUCAAGCCCCAUGUCAGGCU
Molecule: transfer RNA, 85 nt
Filed under: Felis catus (domestic cat)
Lineage: Eukaryota; Metazoa; Chordata; Mammalia; Carnivora; Felidae
Rfam family: tRNA
About the family: Transfer RNA (tRNA) molecules are approximately 80 nucleotides in length.
Source: Rfam by way of RNAcentral